UUUCCGUAGGUGAACCUGCGGAAGGAUCAUUACAGAGUUCAUUCCCUCACGGGUCGAUCUCCCACCCUUGAAUAUUUAUACCUUAGUUGCUUUGGCAGGCCGUGGAAACACCAUGGGCUCCGGCUUAUGCGUGCCUGCCAGAGGAAACAAACUCUGUUUUCAGUGAUGUCUGAGUACUAUAUAAUAGUUAAAACUUUCAACAACGGAUCUCUUGGUUCUG
This 220-nucleotide unclassified non-coding RNA is filed under the name plant metagenome. Its description in RNAcentral is "partial contains small subunit ribosomal RNA, internal transcribed spacer 1, and 5.8S ribosomal RNA". The record is from RNAcentral.